GAUGAGCGCUGGCGGCGUGCCUAAUACAUGCAAGUCGAGCGAACAGACGAGGAGCUUGCUCCUUCGACGUUAGCGGCGGACGGGUGAGUAACACGUAGGUAACCUACCUAUAAGACUGGGAUAACUUCGGGAAACCGGAGCUAAUACCGGAUAAUAUUUCGAACCGCAUGGUUCGAUAGUGAAAGAUGGCUUUGCUAUCACUUAUAGAUGGAUCUGCGCCGUAUUAGCUAGUUGGUAAGGUAACGGCUUACCAAGGCAACGAUACGUAGCCGACCUGAGAGGGUGAUCGGCCACACUGGAACUGAGACACGGUCCAGACUCCUACGGGAGGCAGCAGUAGGGAAUCUUCCGCAAUGGGCGAAAGCCUGACGGAGCAACGCCGCGUGAGUGAUGAAGGUCUUCGGAUCGUAAAACUCUGUUAUUAGGGAAGAACAAACGUGUAAGUAACUGUGCACGUCUUGACGGUACCUAAUCAGAAAGCCACGGCUAACUACGUG
This 497-nucleotide ribosomal RNA is filed under the name uncultured bacterium. Its description in RNAcentral is "partial 16S ribosomal RNA". It matches the Rfam family "Bacterial small subunit ribosomal RNA", at positions 28 to 507 of the family's 1533-position model. The record is from RNAcentral.